GAUGAACGCUGGCGGCGUGCCUAAUACAUGCAAGUCUAGCGAACAGACGAGGCGCUUGCUCCUCUGACGUUAGCGGCGCACGGGUGAGUAACACGUGGAUAACCUACCUAUAAGACUGGGAUAACUUCGGUAAACCGUAGCUAAUACCGUAUAAUAUAUUGAACCGCAUGGUUCAAUAGUGAAAGACGGUUUUGCUGUCACUUAUAGAUUGAUCCGCGCCGCAUUAGCUAGUUGGUAAGGUAACGGCUUACCAAGCCAACGAUGCGUAGCCGACCUGAGAGGGUGAUAGGCUACACAGGAACUGAGAGACGGUCAAGAGGCCUAGGGGAGGAAGCAGGAGGGAAGUGGGCGAAAUGGGGGAAAGCGCGAAGGAGCAACGCAGCGUGGGUGAUGAAGGUAUGAGGAUCGUAAAACUGUAUUAUUAGGGAAGAACAAAUGAGUAAGUAACAAUGCACGUCUUGACGGUACCGAAUCAGAAAGCAACGGCUAACUAUGUG
RNAcentral lists this ribosomal RNA (497 nucleotides) under uncultured bacterium. RNAcentral's name for it is "partial 16S ribosomal RNA". It matches the Rfam family "Bacterial small subunit ribosomal RNA", at positions 28 to 507 of the family's 1533-position model. The record is from RNAcentral.